CCCUUGGCAGCUUAGCUGGUAAAGAAUCUGCCUGCAAUGCAGGAGACCCUGGUUCAAUUCCCGGAUCAGGGA
Bos taurus (domestic cattle) is the source of this 72-nucleotide non-coding RNA. The record is from Rfam. NCBI's taxonomy places the organism in Eukaryota, Metazoa, Chordata, Mammalia, Artiodactyla, Bovidae.